RNAcentral lists this ribosomal RNA (456 nucleotides) under uncultured organism. Its description in RNAcentral is "partial 16S ribosomal RNA". It matches the Rfam family "Bacterial small subunit ribosomal RNA", at positions 335 to 799 of the family's 1533-position model. The record is from RNAcentral.
ACUCCUGCGGGAGGCAGCAGUGGGGAAUAUUGCACAAUGGGCGCAAGCCUGAUGCAGCGACGCCGCGUGGGGGAUGAAGGCCUUCGGGUUGUAAACUCCUUUCGCUAGGGACGAAGCUUUUUUGUGACGGUACCUAGAUAAGAAGCACCGGCUAACUACGUGCCAGCAGCCGCGGUAAUACGUAGGGUGCGAGCGUUGUCCGGAAUUACUGGGCGUAAAGGGCUCGUAGGUGGUUUGUCGCGUCGUCUGUGAAAUUCUGGGGCUUAACUCCGGGCGUGCAGGCGAUACGGGCAUAACUUGAGUGCUGUAGGGGUAACUGGAAUUCCUGGUGUAGCGGUGAAAUGCGCAGAUAUCAGGAGGAACACCGAUGGCGAAGGCAGGUUACUGGGCAGUUACUGACGCUGAGGAGCGAAAGCAUGGGUAGCGAACAGGAUUAGAAACCCGAGUAGUCCCAUG